AACGGAAACAACGAAUUCUGCUAUGCAAUUACGCUGUUCGAUGAUAAUAGUUAACGAAAAUGCUGAUGACCUCCUUGCGAUGCAUAUAACGUUAGACCGACGUAAUGGUGCUAUGUAAUAGUUAAACUGGUCUUCGUGAGCUUUAGUAUAGAACCAUAAGCUGUGCAGAAAACACCGCUAAAAUGCCCCGCUUUCACUUCGUCUUCAUACUUCUUGUCGUCGUUCUGACGAUCAACUCUGCUAUACUUCAAGUCUCGUCAGCUCCGAAAUGCGGCCCGAAUGAAUUCUACACUACCUGCGGACCAGCUUGCCCACCCUCUUGCAAUGAGCAUCGCCCUAUCUGCCUGGUGGAAUGCGUAGCCGGCUGCCAGUGUAAGCCAGGAUUCCGGAGAAACGACGCCGGAGCUUGUGUCCGAGUUUGCCCAAAAGAUUAGGUCUGCCUAAUUCACCGACAUUCGAUCCACGAAUGUCACUUUCUGCUUGGACCACACGCCAAAGUGUAACGUCUCGACAUGCGAAUAAAUAAUCGCUGGCAUUUCACAUUCGUUUUAUUCUCGUUCUAUUCUAAUCAAGAUAAUUGCGAGUCUCGUGCCGCGCGAUCGUAGGAAAAGAUCGAGGCGUCGGAUCGGUACGGCUUUUGAAAUUCUAUCGAGUAAUGAAUGCUCUUAUUAAGUCCGAGAAUAGUCUCACGAAACGGGGGAAACUGCGAGGAAAUAUGAUCCCGAUUACUAUCUAUCGUGCGCGUCCGAUCGAUGCCAUUGAUUAACGCAAGUAUGUACUGGCCCGAUGAUGUCCUUCUUACGAUCGAUACAGCAAUGGUAGACUGACGCAACCGCGCAAUGCAUAUAAAAGGCAGCUGGUUUCCGCGUGCUUUAUUGUCGAUCAGACGGUGUCUAGGAAACAGUGCAACGAUGUUCCGUCUUCGGUUCGUUUUCGUUCUACUCGCCGUUCUGGCAGUGUCCUCCACUAGUUCGACAGAGCAGCAACACGAGAAGUGAGGCGCGAACGAGAAGUUCGUAUCCUGCGGAACAGCUUGUCCGCUCCCUUGCAGCAAACCCCAUCCGCAGACCUGCACUAAAAACUGUGUGAUCGGCUGCCAGUGUGAGGCGGGAUAUCUGAGGAAUUCUGCUGGAUCUUGUGUCACCUCACAAAAGUGUUAGAGUUAUUGUCUGCUGUCUACCUAACUUGUCGAUGAUCUGUCCAGCCAUAGUGAUUCUUCGAGCUCUCUGCACGAUCUCUCCUUCAAAGUGUAAUACCGCGACAUGUGAAUAAAUAUAAAUAAAUAAUUUUAA
Molecule: non-coding RNA, 1292 nt
Organism: Megalopta genalis
Lineage: Eukaryota; Metazoa; Arthropoda; Insecta; Hymenoptera; Halictidae
Source: RefSeq, a predicted model, not a curated record